This 254-nucleotide ribosomal RNA is filed under the name uncultured bacterium. RNAcentral's name for it is "partial 16S ribosomal RNA". It matches the Rfam family "Bacterial small subunit ribosomal RNA", at positions 524 to 776 of the family's 1533-position model. The record is from RNAcentral.
UACGUAGGGUGCGAGCGUUGUCCGGAAUUAUUGGGCGUAAAGAGCUCGUAGGCGGUGUGUCACGUCGUUCGUGAAAACCUGCAGCUUAACUGUGGGCGUGCGGUCGAUACGGGCAUCACUGGAGUUCGGCAGGGGAGACUGGAAUUCCUGGUGUAGCGGUGAAAUGCGCAGAUAUCAGGAGGAAGACCAGUGGCGAAGGCGGGUCUCUGGACAGUUCCUGACACUGAGACACGAAGGCCAGGGGAGCAAACGGG